Molecule: long non-coding RNA, 584 nt
Filed under: Hordeum vulgare
Lineage: Eukaryota; Viridiplantae; Streptophyta; Magnoliopsida; Poales; Poaceae
Description: long non-coding RNA (HVUL_LNC003158)
Source: RNAcentral
UUCUGUGACACGAAGAAGGGGUGCUGCUUCCCGGACACCGGCAAGCCGGCGACGGACUUCGGCAUCCACGGGCUCUGGCCCAACUACGCCGAGUGCAAGACCCGCGGCGAGCUCGACGGCGCCUUGGAGAUGGUGACCAGGCGGAGGAAGAAGUGCUGGCCGGAGUCCUGCAACAGCGAGCGCCUCAAGCUCUGGGAAAUCAGGGACCUGGUGACGGAGCUGGACGCCAACUGGCCGACGCUGGCGUGCAAGGGCGGGAAGAGCUUCGAGUUCUGGACCCACGAGUGGGAGAAGCACGGCACCUGCUCCAACCUGGACCAGCACGGCUACUUCGCGACGGCGCUCGGCUUCAAGGCCCGCCACAACCUCACCAGCAUCCUCGCCGACGCCGGGAUCGUGCCGUCCGACACCGAGACCUACUUCCUCAGCAGCAUCAGGGACGCCAUCAGGGAGGGGACCGGGUUCACGGCGAACCUGGAGUGCAACCGUGGCGUCGACGGCGAGACGCAGCUGUUCCAGGUGUACCAGUGCAUCGACCGCGACGGGGAGAACCUCAUCGACUGCCCGCUGCCGAUGCAGGGCAA